GUACUUUGUGCAUCACAAGGCUGGCAAGAAAUGUCUUUAGCUUCAAUGUUGCAAUUCAAACGAUCCAAGGCAGUUUUUAAAAAAAUAAUUACUGGAGAUUGGGACAUUAAAGCGCGCUUUACGCGCUCACAAUUUUUCCUCUCUUUCGACCAACUUUGUGGAUCUUCGCUCAUAUCUAAAUGCACGUUUCCUUAAUUCUUAUAAAAAGGCCUUCAAAGGAGUUUAUGGAGACAACAAACGAUAUCUCUAAUAAAUGUCAAUUAAUAAAUUUUACCUGUACAACAUUAGGUGGUUGAGUAGCAAUUCGCAUGAACAGGCGAAACCCCGAAAAUAGUGAUCGACAGAGGGAAAACACUAGUGAAGUUCUUCGUAAAUAUAUAAGAAAGAUUACACCCUUUCCGAGCCCAUGGACUGCAAAGUGAGGGAGUAUCGACUUUUUUUCCUAUUCACAGUCUGCUGAACCCUGCUAUGUGUAUCAGAUUGCAAGCUC
Schizosaccharomyces pombe (fission yeast) is the source of this 490-nucleotide non-coding RNA. The record is from the annotation of a GenBank genome assembly. Lineage: Eukaryota; Fungi; Ascomycota; Schizosaccharomycetes; Schizosaccharomycetales; Schizosaccharomycetaceae.